Molecule: long non-coding RNA, 754 nt
Organism: Scatophagus argus
Lineage: Eukaryota; Metazoa; Chordata; Actinopteri; Scatophagidae
Exons: 4
Source: RefSeq, a predicted model, not a curated record
GAUUUAGUGUUAUCUCAGUAUUCAAGUUCCUUUUAUUUUAUGCAGCUUCCAGAUGGCCUGACUGCCUUUACUACCCUGCAGUGUGUGACCUUUGUCAUCUCCGGAUUUAUCCACAUGUGACCUUGCACAGGGAUGCCAUGGCAUCGCAACACCGUCACACGGAGCACUGAAGGCGCAGGGGAGGAUGUCUGCUACCCCAGUGAGAAACAUCAUCCAGAAUGACAGCAUAACCCAGAGGCUGAUUGGACAAACGAGUCAGAGUGUAUUACACACAGCAAAUGGAACGCGAUUACAGCAAAGAAAAAAAGGAAGCGUACAGGAUCUGUGUCCACUACUGUCACUGGCUAGUGUAAGUGGGGUCAGGAGAUCGGGGUCAACCGAGAAGAGGUCAAAGGUCGUGGAGCAGUGGGUCUUGUUAAAAUACCUUUUAGCCUCCUUCAGGGAUAUUAUGUAAUGGCUCUGGGAAUAGGUUAGGUUGCAGGUUGACUGUUUUGUGGUGGAGACUGGAUGAUAUAUGUGUUCUGCUUUAUGCCAGAUGUAUAUUCAUUACCCUUUUUAAAAAAUCAGGAUGCAAAGGAAGUGCUGGGAGGUCAAGAGGGGUGACGUGCAAGAGGUCACACAUAUGCGUUUAUUUGCAGUAUCUUUGUUUUGGAGGAUGCAUCUUCCAGGAAACGAUCAUCUUAUAUAACACCUCAGAAGGUUCUCAGCUCGUGUACUAAGAUGAAGGGGUUUUUCCUUUGUGUUGCUAAUUAAA